RNAcentral lists this ribosomal RNA (531 nucleotides) under uncultured bacterium. RNAcentral's name for it is "bacterial SSU rRNA". It matches the Rfam family "Bacterial small subunit ribosomal RNA", at positions 235 to 770 of the family's 1533-position model. The record is from RNAcentral.
GCCCGAUUAGCUUGUUGGCGGGGUAACGGCCCACCAAGGCUUUGAUCGGUAGCCGGUCUGAGAGGAUGGCCGGCCACACUGGAACUGAGACACGGUCCAGACUCCUACGGGAGGCAGCAGUGGGGAAUAUUGCGCAAUGGGCGAAAGCCUGACGCAGCGACGCCGCGUGGGGGAUGAAGCUUCUCGGAGUGUAAACCCCUUUCGACCCGGACGAAUGACCCGCAAGGGUUUGACGGUACGGGUAUAAGAAGCCCCGGCUAACUACGUGCCAGCAGCCGCGGUAAUACGUAGGGGGCCAGCGUUGCUCGGAAUUACUGGGCGUAAAGGGUUCGUAGGCGGUGCGGCAAGUUGGGAGUGAAAUCUCUGGGCUUAACCCAGAGGCUGCUUUCAAAACUGCCGUGCUCGAGUGCGAGAGAGGCCAGUGGAAUUGCAGGUGUAGCGGUGAAAUGCGUAGAUAUCUGCAGGAACACCCGUGGCGAAGGCGGCUGGCUGGAUCGCAACUGACGCUGAGGAACGAAAGCUAGGGGAGCA